UCCUGAGACAAGAGAACAUUCAUCAGAGGAAGAGCCAUGGCCUUCAAAAUGCAGAUAUCUACCACUUCAGCCUGUUGAGGGGGGCUCAGUUCUGUGUGGCCUAAAUGCCAUUCAACGAGCCAGGUUACCACCACGGAAGCCUGCCUUCUCUCUGGAAUCUCUAGAAAGCAGGGAACUGCUGGGACCUCCUUUUACUAGGUCAGAGGUGCCCUUUCAGCAAACAUCUGUGAAUAAAUGUCCUGCACAGACCAGGAAUUUAAUGCUGACACCUCACGUGGAAGAAAGUACCUGUAAAUGUCUAUCUCAGAUGGACAAUGCUGCUCAUCCCCAUCCCUCUCUCACUUGUGCUUCUCUCCCUCCAUGGACACAGGACAUGCACCGAGCUGGACAGGGGCCAGAGCUGUGGUGUCCUGCAUCUUUCAUGUCCCACAUGAAAGCUGGCUCAGAAGAGAGAGGAAGUCAGCCUGUGAAUGGUCACAAAGGAGCCCAUUCCCAAGACUCUCAACAGAAUUCUGUGAAGUUGUCACCAAACUUGCAGCCACAUUUGCUGUCACCUGAAGACUUGAUGGGAAGAGGGAGUCACCAGACUGCAGGUACAUCCUCAGAUCCAAACUGCAGCAGUUGCUCAUCCUCCUCUCCAAUCUAUAUGAGACUGCAAGUCACUGCCACAAAAUGCAUGGGAGACGGGGCAAUCUUGUGUGCCAGCAUCAGGAGGUAAAAGGGUACCAGUACUCCUUUCUGGGAAGGUAACUGCAGUUGUAUGGAUUCUGCUGAGUCUAGGGGCUAAAGCCCUGCUCUAGGCAUUGAAGGAUGGGAACUGCUUGAACAUUCUUAUAGCAA
Molecule: long non-coding RNA, 840 nt
Filed under: Lonchura striata (white-rumped munia)
Lineage: Eukaryota; Metazoa; Chordata; Aves; Passeriformes; Estrildidae
Description: domestica (Bengalese finch) lncRNA (ENSLSDG00000000727.1)
Source: RNAcentral